GAAGGGGGCGAGCGUUGUUCGGAAUCACUGGGCGUAAAGAGCGUGUAGGUGGCUAUUUAAGUCAGUUGUUAAAGACCACGGCCUAACUGUGGAAAGGCGAUUGAUACUGUAUAGCUGGAGGGCAGGAGAGAGAAGUGGAAUUCUCGGAGUAGCGGUAAAACUGCGUAGAUCUCGAGAGGAACACCAAUUGCGAAGGCAGCUUCUUGGCCUGUUCCUGACACUCAAACGCGAAAGCGUGGGGAGCAAACAGGGAUUAGAUACCCUGGUAGUCCACGCCGUAAACGAUGAUCACUAGAUGUGGGUUGUGCUUGCACGAUCCGUGUCGAAGCUAACGCGUUAAGUGAUCCGCCUGGGAGUACGGUCGCAAGCUA
Molecule: ribosomal RNA, 371 nt
Filed under: uncultured organism
Description: partial 16S ribosomal RNA
Rfam family: Bacterial small subunit ribosomal RNA
Source: RNAcentral